RNAcentral lists this ribosomal RNA (305 nucleotides) under uncultured bacterium. Its description in RNAcentral is "bacterial SSU rRNA". It matches the Rfam family "Bacterial small subunit ribosomal RNA", at positions 337 to 639 of the family's 1533-position model. The record is from RNAcentral.
ACCUACGGGGGGCAGCAGUGAGGAAUAUUGGUCAAUGGGCUUACGCCUGAACCAGCCAAGUCGCGUGAGGGAAGACUGCCCUAUGGGUUGUAAACCUCUUUUGUCAGGGAGCAACGCCGACUACGUGUAGCCGGACUGAGAGUACCUGAAGAAAAAGCAUCGGCUAACUCCGUGCCAGCAGCCGCGGUAAUACGGAGGAUGCGAGCGUUAUCCGGAUUUAUUGGGUUUAAAGGGUGCGUAGGCGGAAUGCCAAGUCAGCGGUAAAAUCGCGGGGCUCAACCUCGCUCCGCCGUUGAAACUGGCGU